RNAcentral lists this unclassified non-coding RNA (289 nucleotides) under Hevea brasiliensis (rubber tree). The record is from RNAcentral. Lineage: Eukaryota; Viridiplantae; Streptophyta; Magnoliopsida; Malpighiales; Euphorbiaceae.
GAAUUUGAUGUCUUUACCUGAGUGUAUUGCUCAUCUCUGAUGUCUUUACUGAGGAUGAUUUUUGGAUUGGAAUUUAUCAUUUUUCAAAUGAGAUGGAAAGUAUCUAACUCCUUCUACAAGUCAAGAACUCUAAUUGUUUGUACCUUUUGUUUGGUACUUAAGGCUGUUAAAGAUCAAUGCAGCGAAUGGAGGAACUUCAGCUAGUGUUUAUCCUUUUAAUAGUGAAAUCCAAUCUGGCGGACUGAUUUGCUUUUCCAAUGGGCAUAUAAACAGUAUAUAUGACCAUCGC